Molecule: long non-coding RNA, 538 nt
Organism: Oncorhynchus tshawytscha (Chinook salmon)
Lineage: Eukaryota; Metazoa; Chordata; Actinopteri; Salmoniformes; Salmonidae
Exons: 3
Source: RefSeq, a predicted model, not a curated record
CAUGUCCUCCCUGUCUCCUCAGGAUGUGAAUUGGCUGGACCAAGAGUUCUUCCCACACCUGUCUGAGCUCUCUGACCUCACCUUCCUUUCCCCACUGGGAGACAACCCCGGGACUGGGAAGAAUGCCAUUCCAAGUCUGCCACCUUCAACGCCCCUCGGUAACACAUCCCUGACCCCAUGGAACAUAUCUCCACCCAUCAUCAUGGCAAACCCAAGGACAAGAGAAGGAAGGCAACAAUUCCUCUGAAUUCUAUUGGAAGCACCCUUACAUCCAACCAGCAGAGCAGAAAGGAUGAACCAGAAGACUACUGGGAAUAUGACUGAAUUAUCUCCACUCAUCCAAUGCUGACUUUACAGUUCAAAUCAGAAUUCAUUGUGAAUGUUAGUUGGUUGUUUUGUAAAGAUGAAUUCCCACAAAUAGGUUUGAAAGCAUGUUAAUAUUUAUUUAUAUUUAAGAUAUUUAACCUGCUUAGAUGUUAGGGACUGAACACCCUCUAGUGGUUGUGUAUGUACAACAACAAACAUCCUGUGUGCCUAA